GACGAACGCUGGCGGCGUGCCUAAUACAUGCAAGUCGUGCGGACCUUUUAAAAGCUUGCUUUUAAAAGGUUAGCGGCGGACGGGUGAGUAACACGUGGGCAACCUGCCUGUAAGAUCGGGAUAACGCCGGGAAACCGGGGCUAAUACCGGAUAGUUUUUUUCUCCGCAUGGAGGAAAAAGGAAAGACGGCUUCGGCUGUCACUUACAGAUGGGCCCGCGGCGCAUUAGCUAGUUGGUGGGGUAAUGGCUCACCAAGGCAACGAUGCGUAGCCGACCUGAGAGGGUGAUCGGCCACAUUGGGACUGAGACACGGCCCAAACUCCUACGGGAGGCAGCAGUAGGGAAUCUUCCGCAAUGGACGAAAGUCUGACGGAGCAACGCCGCGUGAGUGAAGAAGGCCUUCGGGUCGUAAAACUCUGUUGCCGGGGAAGAACAAGUGCCGUUCGAACAGGGCGGCGCCUUGACGGUACCCGGCCAGAAAGCCACGGCUAACUAC
RNAcentral lists this ribosomal RNA (496 nucleotides) under uncultured bacterium. RNAcentral describes it as "bacterial SSU rRNA". It matches the Rfam family "Bacterial small subunit ribosomal RNA", at positions 28 to 504 of the family's 1533-position model. The record is from RNAcentral.